This 250-nucleotide unclassified non-coding RNA is filed under the name Hevea brasiliensis (rubber tree). Lineage: Eukaryota; Viridiplantae; Streptophyta; Magnoliopsida; Malpighiales; Euphorbiaceae. The record is from RNAcentral.
CCAGCCAUCACUAUGGUAUACCGACGGCCUAUCCAGUCGGAGGUCCGGCCAGCUGCGGCUGAGCCCACGAGUGAGUAUAUGUUAAGUGUACCCGCCAGGAUUUCUACUUGAGUAUCUGAGAUUUGCAGGUUUUUCUUGAUGUAAAUAGCUGCACCACUCAUUACUCCAAUAUCAUAGCCGAGUAAGAUUGAAGUCAUGGAAGCCAAGAUUGCACAAGCAAAAGCAAACUUGUUUCUCUUGGGCUUCUUUU